GCUCUCAAAUGCCUUGUUAGGUAUUGUAUAUUUUUCUCUCAACAUUCUUCUCUAUCUCAAUUGCAGAUCGAAUAUACUACAUAAGUCGGAUGAGGAAAUCAAAUUUAUUGAAAAAGUAAUAGAAUUAAAAUUUUAAUGUAGAUAUGAAAGCUCACAAUCACUUGUUACUACAAUUUCUUUACUAAUAUGAUAAAACAUAAUCCAUCAGUAAUUGGCAGUACAACUUCAUAAUUCAUCAGUAAUUUCUUUACACAUUGGAAGUGUUGUCAUGCUUGAAAUGAGUUGAAGGCAAAGGAGAAGCAGCUGUAGCAGUAGGACAAGUACCGGGAGGUGGAGUUGGUACACCAAAAACUUGGGGAUUGGUUCUGAGAUCUUGUCGACCUUUAGCUCUCCCAAGAAAAUAACACCCAAAUCCAAUAAAUAUUGUGAAUAUUAUAAAUGGAAGUGAUAUAACCACUACCAUACCCAUCUCUUGCUUUCUUUUUUGUUCUUUGUUGCUGGUGGGUGACGGAAUGCAGAGAAUAUGGAGGAAGAAGGUCUAGAUUUUGUGUAUGGAAGAUUCUAUGUGUAGAAAUUGAUGUUUUUAAAGAGUUGGGUGAGCUGGAUUCUAACGGUAGGCUUAACGUUCAAGCUUCUAACGGAUACUUUUUGUUUAUUGGCCACUUCAUUUUUCCAUAGAGAGAGAGAUGGAAU
RNAcentral lists this long non-coding RNA (693 nucleotides) under Nicotiana benthamiana. RNAcentral's name for it is "long non-coding RNA (NBEN_LNC002926)". The record is from RNAcentral. Lineage: Eukaryota; Viridiplantae; Streptophyta; Magnoliopsida; Solanales; Solanaceae.